RNAcentral lists this ribosomal RNA (301 nucleotides) under uncultured bacterium. Its description in RNAcentral is "partial 16S ribosomal RNA". It matches the Rfam family "Bacterial small subunit ribosomal RNA", at positions 509 to 808 of the family's 1533-position model. The record is from RNAcentral.
CAGCAGCCGCGGGAAUACGUAGGGGGCAAGCGUUGUCCGGAAUUAUUGGGCGUAAAGCGCGCGCAGGCGGUUCUUUAAGUCUGGUGUAUAAGUGCGGGGCUCAACCCCGUGAGGCACUGGAAACUGGGGAACUUGAGUGCAGAAGAGGAGAGCGGAAUUCCACGUGUAGCGGUGAAAUGCGUAGAGAUGUGGAGGAACACCAGUGGCGAAGGCGGCUCUCUGGACUGUAACUGACGCUGAGGCGCGAAAGCGUGGGGAGCAAACAGGAUUAGAUACCCCAGUAGUCCCUGUCUCUUAUACA